RNAcentral lists this unclassified non-coding RNA (377 nucleotides) under Hevea brasiliensis (rubber tree). The record is from RNAcentral. Lineage: Eukaryota; Viridiplantae; Streptophyta; Magnoliopsida; Malpighiales; Euphorbiaceae.
ACCAUUCUGGAAAACAUGAUCAUCUUGUAUUUGUGACUGAUGCAAAUGAUUGAAACGACUCGAGUUUCCAUUGACAACAGGAGGAAGAUUUGUUGCUUUGUAUUUAGAAAACUCAGCAUCCAUGAUUUUAGAUGGUGCAAGAUUCCCAUCAACUCCUGCCCCAUUUCUCGGUGGACCAAUUUCUGGUUUAGGAGCAGGUUUAGCUUCAGCAGAUGCUCCAACUACUUUAGAGAAAUUUGCCUGCGCAAUCUUAUGGCCUUGAGUCAACUUUUGAGGGCCACCAGAAGCCUUCUUUUGAGAUGAGAGUUCAGUGCUAGAGGGUACCAUUGACUGUGAGACUUUGUUACCAGGUCCAUGUAAGAAAGCACAUCUAUCAC